CGCCCCGCUCGCGUCCCCCUGGCGCGCGGGCUGGAGAGGCCCGUUCCGCCCGCGUGGGAGAAGGCGCCGAGCCGCCCGAGCUGGGGAUGUUCACGGCCCUGCACAAAGCUCUGGUCCGCCAGCCUCAGUUUCCCCGUCUGCCCCGUGAAGAGCAGGACUGAGCUAAAGGUCCCCGCCCUGAGGUUCCAGGAGUGGGCCGCAAAGGACUCACCCCCACUGCGGGGCAACAACCCUGGGCUGUGGGUCGCUCCCAAGGACUGUGGCCCUGCGGCGGUGUGUAUUAAUCUCCCCGCCUGUGGCUGGUGCUCAGCACAGCGCCCCACCCAGAUGCCCCGUCCCUGGACCCGCAUGCCCUCGCCCCUGCACCGGGUGCUGUUGCUGACCUGCCUUACAGACGAGGAAACUGAGGCUGAGAGCACAUAGGCGUCAGGAGCGGCAGAGCCGGGAUUGGCCAACACCCCUCGGCUGAACCAUUUACAGGAAAGCUGCAAGUAACACAGGGGCAUCCCGCAGACCCUUCCCCCGGAUUCCGCAUCGUUACCGCCUUGCAUCACCAAGGUCAAGGUGCAUGCACGUGGAGAAGGCGCCCUUGGCCCAGACUGUCUGUGGGUUUCGCCAGCGCGUCUGUCCGUUAGCUUCCUGCUCCUGCUCAGAACCCGCCCCGGAGGGCACACGCGACCUACGGUCGUCCCCUCCCAUCCGUGACGCUGCGUCAGAC
Long non-coding RNA from Hyaena hyaena (striped hyena), 718 nucleotides. RefSeq lists it as uncharacterized. The transcript has 4 exons. The record is from RefSeq and is a predicted model, not a curated record. Lineage: Eukaryota; Metazoa; Chordata; Mammalia; Carnivora; Hyaenidae.